Molecule: long non-coding RNA, 104 nt
Organism: Thalassophryne amazonica
Lineage: Eukaryota; Metazoa; Chordata; Actinopteri; Batrachoidiformes; Batrachoididae
Exons: 3
Source: RefSeq, a predicted model, not a curated record
AAAUGGUCCAUCUUGGUGCAGAGUCUCUAGUUUCAGUUCUUGAAUACUUCUGACAGCAGAUGUCAGAUGCCAAUGCCAGGUUAGUCUGGCAUUCUGUCGCAGGG